RNAcentral lists this ribosomal RNA (194 nucleotides) under uncultured bacterium. RNAcentral's name for it is "partial 16S ribosomal RNA". It matches the Rfam family "Bacterial small subunit ribosomal RNA", at positions 338 to 524 of the family's 1533-position model. The record is from RNAcentral.
CCUACGGGAGGCAGCAGUGGGGAAUCUUGGACAAUGGGCGCAAGCCUGAUCCAGCAAUGCCGCGUGGGUGAAGAAGGCCUUCGGGUUGUAAAGCCCUUUCGGCGGGGAAGAAAUCGGCCAGGCGAAUAGUCUGGCUGGAUGACGGUACCCGCAGAAGAAGCACCGGCUAACUACGUGCCAGCAGCCGCGGUAAU